UGGGGAAUCUUGGACAAUGGGCGCAAGCCUGAUCCAGCAAUGCCGCGUGGGUGAAGAAGGCCUUCGGGUUGUAAAGCCCUUUUGUUUGGGAGCAAAUCCUGCUGGUUAAUACCUGGCGGGGAUGAGAGUACCAAAAGAAUAAGCACCGGCUAACUACGUGCCAGCAGCCGCGGUAAUACGUAGGGUGCAAGCGUUAAUCGGAAUUACUGGGCGUAAAGCGUGCGCAGGUGGUUUGACAAGACCGACGUGAAAGCCCCGGGCUCAACCUGGGAACUGCGUUGGUGACUGUCUGACUAGAGUGUGGCAGAGGGGGGUGGAAUUCCGCGUGUAGCAGUGAAAUGCGUAGAGAUGCGGAGGAACACCGAUGGCGAAGGCAGCCCCCUGGGCUAACACUGACACU
This 400-nucleotide ribosomal RNA is filed under the name uncultured bacterium. RNAcentral's name for it is "bacterial SSU rRNA". It matches the Rfam family "Bacterial small subunit ribosomal RNA", at positions 355 to 747 of the family's 1533-position model. The record is from RNAcentral.